UAGGGAAUCUUCGGCAAUGGGGGGAACCCUGACCGAGCAACGCCGCGUGAGUGAAGAAGGUUUUCGGAUCGUAAAGCUCUGUUGUUAAGGAAGAACGAGUGUGAGAAUGGAAAGUUCAUACUGUGACGGUACUUAACCAGAAAGGGACGGCUAACUACGUGCCAGCAGCCGCGGUAAUACGUAGGUCCCGAGCGUUGUCCGGAUUUAUUGGGCGUAAAGCGAGCGCUGGCGGUUAGAUAAGUCUGAAGUUAAAGGCAGUGGCUCAACCAUUGUAGGCUUUGGAAACUGUUUAACUUGAGUGCAGAAGGGGAGAGUGGAAUUCCAUGUGUAGCGGUGAAAUGCGUAGAUAUAUGGAGGAACACCGGUGGCGAAAGCGGCUCUCUGGUCUGUAACUGACGCUGAGGCUCGAAAGCGUGGGGAGCGAACAGG
RNAcentral lists this ribosomal RNA (429 nucleotides) under Bacteroidota bacterium. Its description in RNAcentral is "Bacteroidetes bacterium partial 16S ribosomal RNA". It matches the Rfam family "Bacterial small subunit ribosomal RNA", at positions 355 to 776 of the family's 1533-position model. Lineage: Bacteria; Pseudomonadati; Bacteroidota. The record is from RNAcentral.